GGUUAGUAAAAAGGCGAACAAGCUGUUUCAGUUGAGGAUGCUUCGGAAUAUCGCAGUUACAAUACAUUUUCUCCACUUUUAACAUGAGAGCAACAAUGAGCCAACCAUGGCUUUGUAACCUGUUUAAGAUGAUGCUUGGUAAUGUAAUCUACUUGGACAACCUAGCCACAGUUUACUGCUGGGGGGAAACAAGCACAACAUCAGAGGGAACCUUAAUGACAGCCACUACAUGCUGUAUGCUUGAUGAAAGCAAUGCCUCCUGGUAACUGAAACAUGACAAAUCAGAGGGAGAAUGGAAGAAAAGCCAUUUAUCAAGAAGUUGAUGUUGACAACUCCUGUUUUUCUGCAGUGUCACACCUAGGUCAGUUCUCGAAGCCCAAAUGUAGUGGAAGCAACAAUGCGCCUUUGCCGGUGACAAACAUCGCAAGCGUGAUGCAAAAGAUGGAUUGUGUGGGUGUGAUGGAAACAGACUGGAAAAGAUGAGCCUGUCACAAUGUGUUGUCAUCGUGUAUUGAGAAUAACAGUGAGACGAUCACAUGAACAAAUUAGUUGAAUGUGACAGUUUAGAUUUAAUCAAGAAAGUCAUAGCAGUAGCCAUUCAAG
Molecule: long non-coding RNA, 603 nt
Organism: Etheostoma cragini (Arkansas darter)
Lineage: Eukaryota; Metazoa; Chordata; Actinopteri; Perciformes; Percidae
Exons: 5
Source: RefSeq, a predicted model, not a curated record